This is a long non-coding RNA of Cyprinus carpio carpio, 3318 nucleotides long. Lineage: Eukaryota; Metazoa; Chordata; Actinopteri; Cypriniformes; Cyprinidae. The record is from Ensembl.
AUGGACACUGCAGCUAGUGAUGCAGCGGAGCCUGUGGUCAGACCCAAGAGACAAAGUAAACCACCUUCACAUCUGAGUGACUAUGAGGUUGGCUACAUACCCCCAGUGGACCCUCCUCCAAUCUCUUCUUCUCGCUGUCACAGCCAACAUAAGAGCCAAUCGAGGAAAACGUCCCACAGUAAAGCCAGCUCUCAUUCCAGAUCCAGUGGUCAUUCCAUUAUCUCUGGUGUGCAAGCUACUUCUGCACUCACAAGCAGUCAGGCAGCCAUGGUGGAUGAGAGAAUCAAGCAGAGGCAGUAUGACAACCUACUUCAGCAGAUAGAGGAGGACACGUUGGCAGAAAUAGAAUAUCAGAGACUGCAAACACAAGCUAAAGAGGCUCAACGUGUUCAGGAAGAGGCUCUCAUGGCAAAGGAAGCACUAACUAACCAAUUAGAACGACGACGUAAGCUAAAAAAGGCAGAGACUGACCUAGAAGUGGCCAAACUGGUGAAUUCUUUGCUCAGCCAAGACUUGAGUGUGGACGAUGCAGGUCCUGAAGGAUCCCCAGACACAACCGUGCCACCAUCGCAGUUACUUCAUGCCAGCCCAGUCCAGUCUCCUGUACCUCAGCAAUUUCCCUGCCCCGUAUCAUCCAUGAUCCAAGCCACGCAGACUGUAUCAGAGGCACAGAGCAUAGAUCAGUCACUCAAAAAUCCUCCAUUGACAUUACAAGCAACUAUGCCCUUACAAGUUCCAGCUUACACCGCACAGUUGUCCGCAUGUACAGUCACUCAAACCCAAGGAAGAUCACAAGUAGCACAUUAUGAGGAGAAUAUGUCACAUGUCUUGCAGCAGCCAAGCCCAGUCUCAAUACCACUACCUCCAUUCAGCCCUGUGCAACAAGCAGCGACUCAGCUUGCGACACCAUACACAGGUAGUGUUCUGAUAUCACAGACUAAACCUCCUGUUGCACCAAUUGCAUCAACCUCACAUGUGAAUACACCAUUACCAAGGCAGUCAGCCCCUCUUAUGAGUCAGAAUCAGCCUAUUCCAACCACUCAUCAUAGAGCACCUCUCUUAUCUAACACACCCAUCUGCCCUCAACCAUAUUCACCUCUACCUGUUCCUCAAGCUGGUUACAUACCCCAACCCGGGACAGAACUUCUGAUGGCAGCAGCCUAUGGCAUUCCUCGCCCCACACUACCAGUGUUUGAGAGUGGCACUGAAAGUGACUUUGCCUUGUUGAAGUUGGCCUUAGAUAAUCUCUUAAGUCACCAUACCCACAUCAGCGAGCAGUACAAAUAUCAAGUGUUGCUGAGUCACCUGAAAUUUGCUAGUGCCCAACAACUGGCUAAAGCAUAUAUGCACCACCCACAGCCAUACACCACAGCCUUGCAAGCUUUGCAGGAGAAGUAUGGCCAGCCCAGGCAGCUUGUGCAAUCUGAGUUAGGUGCAAUCAUGAGUACACCACCCCUUAAAAUGGGUGAUUCCAAUGCAUUUGACUCAUUCGCCUUAUCUGUCCAAUCCCUAGUAGGCAUGCUGAGAACACUGGAAGGUCAAAAUGGGUAUGAGCUCAUGUGUGGUUCUCACGUAGACCGCCUUCUGAGUAAACUGCCACCUGCUUACCGAGACGGCUUCGUAGAAUACUGCCUGAGCCAUGGAAUUCUACAAACUGGUACAGACAGAACCUAUACUCUCCCCGACUUCGCAUCCUGGUUACAAACGAAGUCACAAGCUAAACGUAUCUCAAGCCGAGCAGCCGCUGUAUUUCAGUCCGACACUACAAAGUCAACUGGGAAGAGUAAAUACACUCCAUAUCAUCGAGAGCGUUCAAUACCUAUACUUCUGACAUCAGAGAAAUCUGUCAAGCCUUCUGCACUGGCACAAGUAAAAGUCAUCUCCAAGCCAAAGCCCUAUUGUCCUCAUUGCGACAACCAAGAUCACUAUCUUAACUCCUGUGAUAAAUUCAAAAGGCUGACCACUGCACAGAUCAUCACCUGGAUCGCAGAGGGCAAACGUUGUUGGAAGUGUGGUCGGAAUCAUUCAGCUGACUCCUGUAACCUCAAGCGACCAUGUAAAGUCUGCAAAGAGCUUCACCUUACCGUGCUGCAUGACUCGAUUAAUGACACCUCCAGAGCAGUGCUUAUGGUGAGCCUACCAUCGACACAGAUCUAUCUAGAUAGACCCAACCGCUCACAGAAAGUCAUGCUAAGAGUUGUCAGAGUUCUCUUGCACAAUGGUGGCCAAACAAUGGAAGCUCACGCUGUCUUAGAUGACGGCUCUGAAAGAACUAUCGUCCUUCCCCAAGUGGUUCGACAGCUCAGGCUAAAUGGAGCUCCAGAAGUUCUUCCCUUGCAGACAAUCCACCAGAGCCAUACCAAACUUGAUGGGUCCACAGUAACUUUUGAGGUGUCUUCUCUCACCAAACCUACAGAGAGGUAUGUCAUUCGAAACGCCUUUACUGCCUCUGGUUUAAGCCUUGCUGAACAUACUUACCCUGUGGCAGCACUCCAGAAAGCAUAUCGCCACUUGAGAGGUCUACCCUUACAGCCAGUUGACAACGUCAAACCCUUACUCCUCAUAGGGUCUGAUAUGCCACACCUCCUGACGCCAGUUCAGCCAGUGCGAAGAGGAGCAGAGAGCAGCCCCAUUGCCAUAUGUACCAAGCUUGGUUGGGUACUGCAAGGCCCAAUGUGUCCAAUUCAGCCCCCUAAAGGUCUGCAACAAUGUUUGCAUAUUAUGACAGCCCCAACACGUGACGAGCUGUAUCAGCAUGUUGAGCGCUUGUGGCAAGUUGACACUGUUCCAUACAAUGAAAAGGUGAUAACAAGAUCGAAACAAGACCAACAGUGCUAUAACCUUUUGCAGACUGCCACUGUCAGAGUGAACGUGGAUGGUGUCCUGCGGUAUGCUACUCCACUGCUGAGGCGCACUCCUAUCACUUUGCUUAACGCAGGUAUGGAGUCUGUGCUCCCCAGCUUAAGAAACAUUGAGAGAAAACUGGCCAAGAAUCCUGAGCAAGCACAAGUUUACUGUUCUGAGAUUCAAAAGCUUGAAUCAGCAGGCUACAUUGCUAAGAUAGCACCAGAUGAGGUAGACAAGUCCACAGAGUCGUGGUUCAUUCCCCACCACAUAGUGCACCACAAUGGAAAGGAUCGAAUAGUCUACAACUGCUCCUUUCAGUACCAUGGUCAGAGCUUGAAUGAACAACUCCUUCCAGGGCCAACACUUGGGCCAUCUCUGUUGGGUGUGAUAUUGAGGUUCCGGCAACAUGCAGUUGCAGUGAGCGGGGACAUAAAAGGCAUGUUCCACCAAAGUACGUUUAUUACCUGGUGA